UAGUCGGGUAAUCGCGCUUAUUUAUAAGUGAGGAAAGUCCGUGCAUUCAAGAACAGGCUUCCGGAGAAACUCCGGACGGUGUGAACCGGUGGAUAGUGCCACAGAAAUGUAGACUGCCGAUGGGUUGCAAAAUCACAGGCGAUGGUGCAACGGUGAGUUAAGAGCUUCACCAGUAAUAUUGAGAAAUAUUAGCUAGGUAAACCCAAGCCGAAUGCAAGAUUGAAUUGGAGAUUAAGGUUGUUCGCCAACUCCUAAAAAAUCGCUAGAGAUUACGAGUAAUCGUAAUACCAGACAGAUGAUUGCCUAGAAACAGAACACGGCUUAUGAGCUACUU
Molecule: RNase P RNA, 334 nt
Filed under: pig gut metagenome
Description: Bacterial RNase P class A
Rfam family: Bacterial RNase P class A
About the family: Ribonuclease P (RNase P) is a ubiquitous endoribonuclease, found in archaea, bacteria and eukarya as well as chloroplasts and mitochondria.
Source: RNAcentral